GGGCGCGUAGCUCAGUUGGUUAGAGCGCUACCAUGACACGGUAGAGGUCCCGGGUUCGAGUCCCGUCGUGCCCACAA
This 77-nucleotide transfer RNA is filed under the name Ilumatobacteraceae bacterium. Its description in RNAcentral is "tRNA-Val". It matches the Rfam family "tRNA". From Rfam's summary of the family: Transfer RNA (tRNA) molecules are approximately 80 nucleotides in length. Lineage: Bacteria; Bacillati; Actinomycetota; Acidimicrobiia; Acidimicrobiales; Ilumatobacteraceae. RNAcentral also lists the same sequence under 1 other name. The record is from RNAcentral.